Molecule: long non-coding RNA, 309 nt
Filed under: Manihot esculenta (cassava)
Lineage: Eukaryota; Viridiplantae; Streptophyta; Magnoliopsida; Malpighiales; Euphorbiaceae
Description: long non-coding RNA (MESC_LNC006055)
Source: RNAcentral
ACGAAUAUAACACAUUGCAUUAUUUACUGUUGAUGUGGAUGGACCAAAGCGACCCCAAUAGCCCUAUUUAUGAUAUGUUAAUGAAGUCCUGAGGAGCCCCUUUGAGGGCCGGGCAUAAUGAAGUCUUGAGGAGCCCGAAGGGCCGGGCAUAAUGAAGUCCUGAGGAGUCCGAAGGGCCGGGCACCAUGUUAUGUUACAGAUAGAGGGAGUUUUGGUGGUCAUGUCCAUCCGUUAUGUGAAAUGUUUGUGCUGUGACGCAUUCCAUGAUAGCAUAUGAUUAUUAUUGUGCAUUGUUUCUACUCACUGGGC